CAUGCUUGGAGUAAGACAUUCAGAGUAAAACUCUGGGGGUAACAUUCUCACAGUAAGAUGUUGAUAGUAAGACUUUCAGAGUAAGACUCUUAACACCCUCGGAGUAGGACACUCAGAGGAAGAUGAUAAUAGGGUGAUGUUUGGAGCAAGACAGUUGGAGUAACAUGCUCAGAAGUGAGACAUUCAAAAGCUCGUCUCGAAACCUUUUCAUACCACCUGGAGUGGAUGGGAGAGUCAUCAGCAAGCAAAUCUUACCUGCUAUCUCAUCGCUAAAUUUAACAUCUGUAAGCACGUGAAACAUCAUAUAGAUUAAGAAUACAAAUCAUUUUACUAAAUGUUUCUACACAGCUGGAGAUGUUACUCUACAGAUCAUAUACACCACAUCCUAGCUUGUCAGCCAUCUGCGGUCUGAAGGUUUCGAGGGUGUGAGGCCACCUGCUGCUGGCGUUUCUCCUCCGAACGUAAUUACACACAUGUGCAAAC
Molecule: long non-coding RNA, 483 nt
Organism: Silurus meridionalis
Lineage: Eukaryota; Metazoa; Chordata; Actinopteri; Siluriformes; Siluridae
Exons: 3
Source: RefSeq, a predicted model, not a curated record